RNAcentral lists this ribosomal RNA (490 nucleotides) under uncultured bacterium. RNAcentral describes it as "partial 16S ribosomal RNA". It matches the Rfam family "Bacterial small subunit ribosomal RNA", at positions 29 to 507 of the family's 1533-position model. The record is from RNAcentral.
AUUGAACGCUGGCGGCAGGCCUAACACAUGCAAGUCGAACGGUAACAGGGAACAGCUUGCUGAUUCGCUGACGAGAGGCGGACGGGUGAGAGAUGUCCGGGAAACUGCCUGAUGGAGGGGGAUAACUACUGGAGACGGUAGCGCAAACAGCAUAACGUCGCAAGACCAAAGAGGGGGACCUUCGGGCAUCUCGCCAUCGGAAGUGACCAGAUGGGAUUAGCUAGUAGGCGGGGUAACGGCUCACCCAGGCGACGAUCCCUAGCUGGUCUGAGAGGAUGACCAGCCACACUGGAACUGAGACACGGUCCAGACUCCUACGGGAGGCAGCAGUGGGGAAUAUUGCACAAUGGGCGCAAGCCUGAUGCAGCCAUGCCGCGUGUGUGAAGAAGGCCUUCGGGUUGUAAAGUACUUUCAGCGGGGAGGAAGAGAAUCAAGUUAAUACCUUGGUGUAUUGACGUUACCCGCAGAAUAAGCACCGGCUAACUCCGUG